Molecule: long non-coding RNA, 1228 nt
Organism: Armigeres subalbatus
Lineage: Eukaryota; Metazoa; Arthropoda; Insecta; Diptera; Culicidae
Exons: 3
Source: RefSeq, a predicted model, not a curated record
AUAUAUGAGUAAAUGCAAUUAUACCAAUAUUAUUAGUAAACUUUACCUAAAAAAUCGGUUAAAUUUACUGAUAUUCUGAAGAAACUGACCUUACCUAUAUAUGAGUGAUCGCAUUUACCCAUAUUUGGGUGAAAAAAUAAACAUAACAAAUACGAACUGAGGACCACCGGCAGUCGCAGUAGUUUGUAAAAUUCUCUGUUUUAUGCUCAAUACAUAGUGACAAUCGACGAGUAUUUAUGUAGUUCCGAGUGCAGUUCUUGAUGUGAGCUUUUCUUAACCAGUUCCGAUCAUUUUGAGCUCCUGUCGGAUGUCAACCUCACAAGUGAUGAUCGACGCUAUAUUAUGAGAAAGAGGACUAGCUCCUGAACCAUCGGUGGAGACUUUCUCACAACUGCGAGUCUCUGACUCCGGUUUAUUACGUUCUUGAAACCUACCACCAGUGCUACGGAAUAAAUGCGAAAACGACCAUCAUUGUUUUGCCAUUGGGAGCUCCGCGGAUGUCCCGAGAAGAUUGCUGAUUCCCAAUCAAUAGGGCCCCAUUGCGCAGCAUUUAACAAUUGGCUCUUUAACGACUACUUCGGUGCGGGUGGAGCAUUGAUGGCACCAGGCAGUCUGGCAUCCAAGAUAUAGACUUAGCUUAAAUUCUCGUCCACGAUCUGUUGCUAAAAGAUCUACCGAACGUAAAAAUCAUUUCCGGACGUCAGAAUCAUCCAACGUAAAGAUGUUCUCGAUGUUCAGUUCAAUUCGCAUGCUGGUUCGUCUUGUCGCUCCCGGAAGUGGCCGAAAAGAAGAACAGGUAGGAAAAAGCGAAAUGAGAAAAAAUCAGUCGGACCGAUCGACCGACUGACAGGGGCGUCGCCAGAGGGAAAUGGAGCGUAAGCCAAGGAGGAGUUAUAUUCUUGAUGCCCAUCAAACAGCAGCUCUUGGUACAAAAACAACAUCCGGAUGGCAGAUUUUUUAUUAGAUUGAUUUCGGUACGGCCAGUCGUUUCAUCAAUGUAUCCAGCAACAUCAUCUUCAGAUACCAUCACCAGUUCAGGAAUUGUAUUGCGUCAAAAUUUCGCACAGCUAACUUGUGAUCCGGUGCUUGCUGCGAUUGAUGUUUCCUCCACCGCAGUGAUGAGAAGCUGAGGGAUGUUCCGGUCGAGGUUCCGGUUCGGCUGGAAUUGCUAUCAUCAGAUGUUAUAAAAGAUGUCUCCCGCAGCUGCUUGUAUUGAAGCAAUAUUCAG